AAGCUUUUAGUACAGACCUUUGCUCCUCCAAAUACAACUGUCAGAAGAGAGAAAGUCACAUGAACAAUCGCAAGGACAAAGAUAAAAAUGUGAAGGUGAUGCAACGCUUCAAGAGAGAGUAGUGGAACCUUGUGCUGAAAAACAAAAGACAAACAUAAAAAUAUGAAGGUGAUGCAACGCUUCAAGAGAGAGUAGUGGGACCUUGUGCUGAAAAAAAAAACAAGAAUUAUGUACUUUAAUGGAGUAAUCGAGCUGUACUAACAGAAACAGAUCAUUAUAUAGAAUUGGGAUUCAACUUUAGUGUCAGGAUAUUUAAGAAAAUAAUUCAAGUAAAUGUAUGUCUGCACAAUAUUUUUCACAUUGCCUCUUACUAAAGAUCAAGGACAAAUAAUCCCUAAAUUUUUGGCUUUUCCCUUUUUCUUUGUAUGUAAAUAAAAAGAACUAAAACAAUGGGUCCUUGUAGCAAAGAUAAU
This 473-nucleotide long non-coding RNA is filed under the name Nicotiana benthamiana. RNAcentral's name for it is "long non-coding RNA (NBEN_LNC019867)". Lineage: Eukaryota; Viridiplantae; Streptophyta; Magnoliopsida; Solanales; Solanaceae. The record is from RNAcentral.